RNAcentral lists this ribosomal RNA (484 nucleotides) under uncultured bacterium. Its description in RNAcentral is "partial 16S ribosomal RNA". It matches the Rfam family "Bacterial small subunit ribosomal RNA", at positions 28 to 523 of the family's 1533-position model. The record is from RNAcentral.
GACGAACGCUGGCGGCGUGCUUAACACAUGCAAGUCGAACGAUGAUGCUGGAGCUUGCUCCAGUUGAUUAGUGGCGAACGGGUGAGUAACACGUGAGCAAUCUGCCCUUGACUCUGGGAUAACUGCGGGAAACUGUAGCUAAUACCGGAUACUUUCACCGGAAGGCAUCUUCUGGUGAUGAAAGAAUUUCGGUCAGGGAUGAGCUCGCGGCCUAUCAGCUUGUUGGUGAGGUAACGGCUCACCAAGGCGACGACGGGUAACCGGCCUGAGAGGGUGACCGGUCACACUGGGACUGAGACACGGCCCAGACUCCUACGGGAGGCAGCAGUGGGGAAUAUUGCACAAUGGGCGCAAGCCUGAUGCAGCAACGCCGCGUGAGGGAUGAAGGCCUUCGGGUUGUAAACCUCUUUUAGCAGGGAAGAAGCGAAAGUGACGGUACCUGCAGAAAAAGCACCGGCUAACUACGUGCCAGCCGCCGCCGUAA